Non-coding RNA from Phalacrocorax carbo (great cormorant), 1829 nucleotides. The record is from RefSeq and is a predicted model, not a curated record. Lineage: Eukaryota; Metazoa; Chordata; Aves; Suliformes; Phalacrocoracidae.
UGUUCCUGGAAAGCAGCCACUCUCACAGAAAUAGCAGUUGACAGAAGAAGUGUAUAUGAAGCACGCAGAGAAGAAUAUAUCAGCCAAUUUAAACCCUGAAGAUACUUUUGGAUGGCAGGGUAACAUUGACCAGAUUUGAAUUUGGUCAAAACACCAAACACAAGGCUUCACUGCAAUGUUUACCAGCCUCCAGCAGCCUGCACCUCCCGCCGCAGCGAGGCACAAGGCUGUAUUCUUUGACCACAGUAAAUCAGUUGUGGCAGGGUCAGUCCUGCAGGCAGCUCUGUGCAGAUGGACUCCUCGCCUCUCUAUUUUAGUCCAACUGAAAUCUACCAUAUGUUUAUGUUCUGCAAGUGAAAAGCAUCAGAAAAAAAAAACCCCAAACAAAAACAUUUUUCCAUUUCUGAACCUUUGGACAAUAUAGCUGUUGUCUGGGGUCUGACGGACCAGGGCUUCUUGCCAGACUGGAACCUCAUAGAGAAAAGUGCCACCUACUGAAUAACCACUACCACAUCCUGCCCUCUUCCCUUUCUGUCUGCUGUCUAAACACGGCGAUAGCUCAGCUCAGCCGCUCCAACAAAAGGAGGAGUCCUCAAGCUGAAUUUUCAAGUGAGAAAAACAUUCCCCUUUUGUGUGAGUUGGGGGUUAUUGGUCUGUCGUCUUGUGGAAAGAGAAACAAGGUGUUUUUAAAACUAUUUUGCUGAAGUUUUGGAUUUGCUACUGGAAAAGAAAUUGUAACUGGGAAGAAAGCACUUACUUUUUGUCAGGCUAGCUCUAAAAUCAUGUUUGUAAACUUAAGCCAAUUCUUUUUCUUUUAGAUCUGCUCCUUAUUAAUCUGUGUUGAUUUAAGCUGUUAUGAUACCUUCACAGUGCCUUAUUCCACUCCUGCUGCAGGGCCUGGGCUCACUGGAAACGCCACGUCUUUCAUGCCUGAUUAUGGCCACACAACACAAUUUGCAUCACAGAAAUCUUACCAUGAUGGAAAGCGUAGUCCGUGGAGAAGUUUGGCACAAAGCACAGAAAUGGGAUGCAGGCAGACUUCAUGAGAUGCUGUGAAAGCUCAAUGGAAAAUAGCCCAAAUAAAAGACUGUAACAUUUCCCAGUAUUUUGAGUGAAAACUACAUAAACGGAUGGCUUCUGCUAAGUUUGCACUCCUGCAGAACUCAGCUCCUGGAAUGGACUGCCCUGAACCCUGCGCCGGCUGAGCGUGAGCACUGUUUCUAGAGAGCUCUCUAGUGAUGGCAGCCGGUAAAAUUGUUGGUUAGGAAAAGUAAUAUCACUCUUAGGCAUACAACAGAAGUAGAAGAGAAGGUUGCUGUUUGGCUUUGUGCCAAACCAGCGCUAAAUACUGUGUCUUCUUCUAGCUGAUUCUGAAAACAGAAAAUUCAAAGGAGCUUAAGGCUUGUUGGGGCAAAUUUUGAUAUUGGCCACACAGUACGGUGUAAAUGAGAAAUAACUCGACUGAAGAAAAUAGGACUACAGUAGGAGGUACCUCAUGUUUUGUUUUUGCAGUAAUUUAUUUGCUAGUAUCAAACAUAUACAUAAAAAUAAACUUUACCGUAGCUUUGUUUCCAUUAAGAAGUAGAGGAACAUCAAUUUUCUGGGUUGUAUUUUUUAUUUUUCAGUACUUCACUGUGGGAAAAGCCAUAAAAUUUCUCAAAGUGAAAAGUGCUGAGGGAAUUCUAACAAGCCCCACUGGACAGCUGCGUCAGUGUGCCAGCGAAGGCGUAAGGAACAUUUGCAUUCAAGGAGGGAUAUUUCUACAUUACCUGUCAUGUUGCCCCAUGAGCACUCCAGUGAUUUAAAGGAUAUGGAAAAUCUGUUUCAAG